GUUUAUUAGGCGUCUGUUAUUUUUAUCUUUGGCAGAAGUUAUUCCCUCAGUUGCCGACCUUCUCCCUCCCAUCUUCAUAAGUUUCAUAAGGUGCUUUCGGUUACAUGAAACUGUAGUGGCACAAAAUUAGCUUCAAGUUCUGUGGAUCAAACAACUCGUAUUUAGAAAAUUGAGCCUCAUGGUCAUCGGAGAAGCUUACUUGAGAAUGAGAUUGAACAAAAUGAUCAGGGAUCCGAAGGAUACUAUUGUUUGAGCUUAGUUAAGUUGUCCUUUUAUAAUUUUUGGUUUAGUUUAAUAAGUAGACACCUUUGAGCUUAGUUAAGUUGUUUCGUCCUUUUACCAUUUUAAGUUUAGUUUACUAAGUAGAUGCAUGUUGUCCGUAGUGAUGAUAUUUAUACUUGUAUGGUUUUAUCCCAACUCAGACAACUUCUACUAUUAAUAUAUUUGGUUGUUUGUACACGAUGGCUUUGUCAGCAAAAUCGAAUACUUGAUGGAUAUUACUUGAUUGAGCAGCCUGCAAGUGUAUCUUCUGUAUACAUAAUUAAAUUCUUCUUUAGUUUUGUGGAAUCAAAUAAAUGUUGGUGCUAUGUGCACAAAAAACAUGGUCAUCCUUCCUAUUCAGUUAGUUCUUGAGGCUAUGCAUGAGCGGGUUUAUUGCUUCUUCUUCUCUUAUAUUCCCCUAUAUUAGUCCCCAUGUUGUUCAAGUUCUUCCUAUGGUGCUUGCUAUGUAGCCGUACAUACAGAGUUGAGGUUUUCCCUACUAUUCAUUUUGCUGCCACUUUGAACUCUGAGUUUCGGAAGUGGAACACUUUAAUAAGUUGACGAAAUAAAAGUGACAUAAUUAAUAAGUUGUUCCUUUUCUUUGUUUUUGAAGUAAGGUUUAGCUAUGGUUGGAU
Long non-coding RNA from Solanum stenotomum, 896 nucleotides. RefSeq lists it as uncharacterized. The record is from RefSeq and is a predicted model, not a curated record. NCBI's taxonomy places the organism in Eukaryota, Viridiplantae, Streptophyta, Magnoliopsida, Solanales, Solanaceae. The transcript has 3 exons.